Molecule: transfer RNA, 52 nt
Filed under: Ovis aries (sheep)
Lineage: Eukaryota; Metazoa; Chordata; Mammalia; Artiodactyla; Bovidae
Rfam family: tRNA
About the family: Transfer RNA (tRNA) molecules are approximately 80 nucleotides in length. Their secondary structure includes four short double-helical elements and three loops (D, anti-codon, and T loops).
Source: Rfam by way of RNAcentral
UCUAAUGGUAAAGAAUCUGCCUGCAAAGCAGGGGACCAGGGUUCGAUCCCUG